Molecule: transfer RNA, 60 nt
Filed under: Acanthocheilonema viteae
Lineage: Eukaryota; Metazoa; Nematoda; Chromadorea; Rhabditida; Onchocercidae
Description: tRNA-His
Source: RNAcentral
AAUUUUUUAGUUUAAAUUUGAAAAAUAUUUGGUUGUGGUCUAAAAGAUUUUUAAAAAUUU